UUCGCGUUACUUCUGUGGUUCGUGCCGCUCUUCGGUGUUCAUGUGUUCCACCGCCCGGUUUGAGGUGGUGCCAGUUGGAAGUUGGAUAUCAAUCAGCUAAAUGGAAUGGUCUCCAUGGAUGCAAUCGGCCCAGGACGGCCGCCACUGUAGAAAAACAAAAUGCAGAUCUGGAACACACAAGCAGGAAAUGGCCUUGGCUUACAGCAUGGUACCGCCUACGGUCCUAUCGUUUUCCACAAUUGAUUUUGGGAAACUACGGAAUCCACAAAGUUAGUCCUGCGAGAACCACGAUUCGAACAGCUGUCGUCUGGAAUGUGACAAGUGUCAGAUCUCUCAGAUGUUAAGCUUUCUAUAGUCAUCUGCCUAAAGAUUGAAACAGGGUAAAGCAAUUUUAUGACAAAUAAAAGUUUCAAAUGCAUGAAGUGAAA
This is a long non-coding RNA of Bacillus rossius redtenbacheri, 428 nucleotides long. RefSeq lists it as uncharacterized. The record is from RefSeq and is a predicted model, not a curated record. The transcript is spliced from 2 exons. NCBI's taxonomy places the organism in Eukaryota, Metazoa, Arthropoda, Insecta, Phasmatodea, Bacillidae.